AAGCGAGAAAGUCUAGUGGAACGAUGCAGGGUUCAUUGGGUUUGUUUACAAAAAUUCAAGCAUCCGGUUAAGAAGACGACAAAUAAGAAUGGUAUUAAGUUGGUAGAAUGGAACUCCUUCCUGAUUCCUGCACAUGUAAGUUACCAGAUACUCUUGAGGGACCAAUUUAAGGGCAAACAGACAAACGUUUUAAUGCAAAGAAAGCAUUGGAUUUGAAAGUUCCUAUGGAGAAGAAAAAUGGAGAGAUUCUAAAAGUAUGAAGAUACUCCUGUGUAUAAUGAGGAAAUCGUGUCAGUGAAUGUUGUUGCAAUUGUGGACCAGGCCAGAGUUGUACUAAACCAACUAAGACACAAUGAGAUACAGGAAUGACACAAUGAGAAACAGGAAACAGGAAUGUGAUGAAUGAUCGCCACCUGUUACAAAUUCAUCUAGAAAACUCCCCACAUCCAACAAGAGACAAUCUGACUUCAAAAUCUUCAUUGAAGGCAACUUAAUGGACAAGACAUCCGUCACAUAAAGAUUCACUAAAAUUGGAAUGAUAUACCAAUUUUAACUUUUAACAGACAAAUACAUUAUAAAUUUGAAAAUAGAUCACCCUUAAAUAAGUUGGAUGAUUAACAUUUACCUCAACACAGUACAAAGUGCUCAUGUUGAACUAUUGUGAUUGAUCAUAGUCUGUCCUUCAUUUUUAUUAACAGUUUCAUACAGUGUUAACACUUUAGUAUGGGGACUCAUUUUUAGCUCAACUUUUCGAAGAAUAUGGAGAGCUAUACUACUCACCCAAGCGUCGGCGUCACCCCUUGGUUAAGGGUUUGCGUGCAAGCACACAUAGGUUAAUAUCUCAGCAACUACUUGAGGCAUUGCAUUGAGACUUUAUACAAUGGUACUCAACCAUCCAACCUACUUAAUUAACCAAGUUUGAUAACUCUACUUUGCAUUUAAUGCCAAUAAUAGGCCUUUAAUAUUUGACUUAGAAAUUCUGGUUAAGGUUUUGCAUGCAAGCACACAUAGGUUAAUAUCUCAGCAACUACUUGAGGUAUUGCAUUGAGACUUGAUACAAUGGUACUCAACCAUCCAACCUACUUAUUUAAACAAGUAAGAUAACUCUAGUUUGCAUUUAAUGUAAAUAAUAGGCCUUUAUUAUUUGACUUAGAAAUUCUGGUUAAGGUUUUGCAUGCAAGCACACAUAGGUUAAUAUCUCAGCAACUGCUUGAGGUAUUGCAUUGAGACUUGAUACAAUGGUACUCAACCAUCCAACCUACUUAAUUUUCCAAGUUAUAUAACUAUAGUUUGCAUUUAAUGCAAAUACUUGCCUUUAUUAUUUCACUCAGAAAUUCUGGUUAAGGUUUUGCAUGUAAGCACACAUACAUGUAGGUUAAUAUCUCAGCAAAUACUGGAUGAAUUGCAUUGAGACUUUAUACAACCACCCAACCUAAUUGAAUAAUCAAGUUAGAUAAAAAUUCUGGUUAAAAUUUUGCAUGUAACCACAUUUAUGUUAAUAUCUCGGCAUGUAUUGCAUUGAAAUCUAAUCUAACAGUGAUCCAUGCAUGUUUCGCCAAAACUUUUCAAUCCUUACACUGAAAAGCAGCGGAAUAGUCGAGAGCGCUGUCUCUGUGACAGCUCUUGUCUCUUUGGUCUUUAUUUAUACUGGCCAGAAUAUGUUUACCAAAAAAAUCUUAGUAGAGAUUGAUAACUGUUCAGGUUGGACAAAAAGCAUGUAGGUUGUUUGUUCUAAUAAUAUAAACUGUAAAUGCUUCAGAAACUAUAUAUAUAAUUUUUCAUGAUAUUUGUCAGUAUUUAUUCUCGUCAACAUUUAAAUAAUAUUAGGUGAAACUUGUUUAUUGGUCAAAAUGUGUUUGAUUAGAGUGGCCUCAAGUUCCACUUCAUAUGAAUGAAAUUUGGUCAAGUUUUAGAAAAAAACUAUGUUCUAGUUUUAUAGGCCAUAUUCUCUUCCCAAGCUUUCCUUGAAGAAUGAAUGUAGGUAAUAUGAAACAGGAGUCACUAAGUCAAGUAUUAAAAACCUUAAAAGUUGCUAUUCAUAGAGGUAUUGUUUCCUCAUCAUAAAUCACAACUUAGCCAGCAAUACUUUUCAACAAACAAGGCAUAACAUGUAAAAAGUUAAUACUUAGGCACAUAUUUUAGUGAAUAAAAGCUUGUGAACAUAUUAUUGAAACAAAUAAUGUGUCUGGUUCUGAGGGGAGCAAUAAAGCACAUUGCUUAGUAACAAUUGAGCUAGCUCAUUAUUAAAAGUUUGUUUUAAACUUGAAUUAAAUGAAUGCAAAUCAUAUAUUAUUAUUUUUAAUCUAUAUUUUUUUUUUAGUUACCUUGUUCUGUUGUUAAUUUCCAUACUGACUUGGUCAAUUAUGGCUAAUUGUCUUAUUAUAUUUUAACUUCUAACCUAAAUGUUUCAUUGUACUUUUGAGUGUUCUGUUAACUAUAUUGCACAUUACCCUAUAUGACAGUAUAAAUUCAAUAAAACCAUGGUUAUUAAGUUCCAUACAUAUUGGAGCACAUGGUAAGCCUCUAGAAAUGUCACUUCUUAAACCUAGAUUCUUGAUCUGUUCGCCACAUUGUUUUGUUAAUUUUUUGUUUAUAAAAACAAAUGAUUGUUUAAUGUCAAGGAAACCUUUUUAAAGUUAAAAUGUAGAUGUACAUAGAUAACUGUCAAAUAUUAUUUACUAUUUAAUAACUGUCUAAAGGCAAAAUUUCCAUUCAUUUUUAGCUCACCUGUCACAUAGUGACAAGGUGAGCUUUUGUGAUCACAAUUUGUCCGGCGUCCGUCAGUCCGUCCGUCCGUAAACUUUUACUUUAAACGACAUCUCCUCAUAAACCGCUUAGCCAAUUUCAUCCAAACUUAACAGGAAUGUUCCUUGGGUGGUCCCCCAAUUGUUGAAAAUUUUUCAAAGAAUUGAAUUCCAUGCAGAACUCUGGUUGCCAUGGCAACGGAAAGGAAAAACUUUAAAAAUCUUCUUCUCCAAAACCACAAGGCCUAGAGCCUUAAUAUUUCGUAUAUAGCAUCAUCUAGUGGUCCUCUACCAAAAUUGUUAAAACUAUCCCCCUGGGGUCAAAAAUGGCCCCGCCCCAGGGGUCACUUGUUUUACAUAGACUUAUAUAGGGAAAAAUUUAAAAAUCUUCUUCUCAAAAACCACAAGGCCUAGAACCUUGAAAAUUGGUACAUGUGUAUGUGUCAUCAUGUAGUGGUCCUCUACAAAAUUUGUUCAAAUUAUUCUCCUGGGGUCAAAAAUGGCCCCGCCCCAGGGGUCACUAGUUUUAUUACAUAGUGUUAUAUAGUAAAUCUUUAAAAAUCUUCUUCUCCGAAACUGUAAGGCCCAGGGCUUAGAUAUUUGGUAUACAGCAUCAUCUAGUGGACCUCUACCAGAUUUGUUCAAAUUAUUGCCACAGGGUCAAAAUUGACCCCGCCUAGGGGAUCCUUGUUUUUACGUAGUGUUAUAUAGUAAGUCUUUAAAAAUAUUCUUCUCCAGAACCGUAAGGCCAGGAGCUUAGAUAUUUGGUGUACAACAUCAUCUUGUGAACCUCUAUCAAAGUUGUUCAAAUUAUUGCCACAGGGUCAAAAUUGGCCCCGCCCUGAAAGUUAUUUGUUUUUAUAUACAAAUGUAGUCUUAUAUAAUAAAACUUUAAAAAUCCUCUUCUCCAAAAUAUAAGACCUAGAGCUUUCAUAUUUGGUAUAUAGUGUUACCUAGUGGACCUACACCAAAGGUAUUCAAAUUAUUGUCCCGGGGUCAAAUUGGCCUUGCUCAGGGGUCAUUUGUUUUUACAUUGUCUUGUCACUUAAAAUCUUUUCCUCUGAAAGUAAAGGUCAGAAUGACUCCAUACUUGAUAUGUAGCAGCCUUACAUGGUCCUCUCUCAACUUUGUUCAAAUGGUUUUGUUUGGCCCCUUUUAGGGGUCACCAGAGCAAAAAAUAGAAAAACCUUUAAACAACUUGAUCUUAUUAACUGCUUGAUGGAUCUUCAAGUCUGAAGCAUCCUAGCAUGGGCCUCUGUCAGGUCUUUUCAAAUAAUUUUGUUUGGCCCCUUUUAAGGGCCACCAGAGCUAACAUUAGUAAAAAAAACUUAACAUUUUCUUCGCAUGAACCCCUUGAUAGAUCUUCAGCAAAUUUGGUUUGAAGUGUCCUUGCAUGGACCUCUCUUAAAUUUGUUCAAAUAAUUUUGUUUGGCCCGGUUGACAUGGCAACCUAAAGGAAAAUGUCAACAAUUGGUUACAAUCAUCUUCUUCUCCUAAACCCCUUGGACAAUUUUGAUGAAACUUCAUAGGAAUGAUCCUUGGUUGGUGCUUUUUCAAAAUUGUUCAAUGUCGUGUCCGCCCUGUGACUUUCUCUUAUAUGGACAGAUUUUAAAAUGACUUGCCAUAUGUUUUCGACAUACCAAGACAACGUGUCGUGUGCAAGACCCAUGUCCCUACCUCUAAGGUGAAAGAUACACUAAGUGUUUAUUCACAAUGGAAUGCUGAAUAUGGGGACAUAAAGAGUGUUGGCUGUCAUUUAGUAUGAUUGGGGUUUUUUCUAUGUGCAGAGGCAAUUUAAUAUAACUUGCAAUAUGUAUUUGACACAUAAAGGCAAGAUCAACUUUUUAUGUACUUGUUCAUAGAUCAAUGUCACAUUGGGGGGCAUUUGUCACAUACUUUGACAGCUCUUGUUCAAUAUUCUUUGAGAAACAAGCUAUGUUAAACUCUUUUACUCAGGUGAGCGAUUUAGGGCCAUCAUGGCCCUCUUGUUAUAUUUGAUUUGGGUCCCUAGGGUCAUGGUCACUGUAACUACAAAUAGAAAAAUGCUUGGUACUGAAUAACUUCAGUUUUAAUACAUUUAAAACUGAAUCUCACAAUAAAGGCUGAAGUUCUUGUUGCAUUGCAGCAUUUCUAGUUAACUUUUUAAUUUGACUCUUUUUAUUGCUUUCGACAGGCACAUAUUACAUCAUUAUUGUAUUCAUUUUUAAGACAAAGCCUCAUUUACUUGAACGUGCUGUCCAAAGACAGCUCUUGUUGACAUAAUUAUAAGACACCUUAUGUUAUGGUUUAUAUGAACAAUAGCUGUUUCUGUGUAUGUUUUAGAAGAAACUUCCAUUUCUUAUCAUAUUGAUGGACAUAGAUAUGCAUACAUGUACGGGAUUAUUGACAUCAGAUUCUUAGGAUUAAAUUUACUAAUGUUCUGUUCAUGUUCAAAAUAGAUACAGUUAUGGUAAAUGCAUAGUCUUGUUUGUUUAUAACAUAGACAACCAUGUCUUUUGGUUGUCCUGGUCUCCUGUCCUGUUAUGUGAAUUGGGUUUUAUGGACAUCUUCGAUAUUGUAGGUCCAAUUCUAGUGUCUACGUGGAAAAGUAUUUAGCCUAGGGAGACCUUAGUUUGGGUUAUCAUGUUGGAUAUGUCUAAAUGUUGGCAUGUCGGGAAAUGACAAUUUUAGGCUAUGACAAUUUAAAAAUGUAGAAGUUGCUGGGCAAGGCUCCACACCCAAGUGACUGUCGCAUUAUAUUCUUGAAAAAAUGCCUUGGGCUUUUGGUUUGUUAUGAAUUUUGCGAGUCUGGCAAAUAUCUGCAUUAUAAUAUUCAUCGACAUACAGGUGACAAAGAAAAAGGUCAAUUUUCAAUGAUUUCAAAAGAUUUAUUAACUAAAAGGGGAUCAUCAUAAAUGAAUACAGAGAACAAGGUUAAUUGAUUUGACAGAGGAUUGAUGCAGAGCUUCAAAAAUUAAGGAGACAAUUUCAGAAAAAUGCACAUAAAUGAUUUUUGUUUAUUUGUGUUGUUUGAUAACUGCUGUGUGUCGAUUUUUAUUUAAUUUCAUUUUACCCCCCAAAUCACACUUCACACCAUACAUGGUUUCUACACUUUAGGUUUGUUAUACUGUAUUAUAGUAUCUAUUGAAUACAGUAAAAUUUCUGGUCAUUGUAUUGCAAAAUUUGUGCUAAUAAUUUGCAAUUUCAGAAACUCUCAUUUUUAUUUAAUUUUUCAAACAUUUUCCCCAAAAUUCACAUUUCACAAAAUUACAUAGUUUCUUUACUUUUGAUAUAUUAAACUGUAAUAUUUAUGAAAUACAGUAAUUCUGGUCAUUCUAUUGCAAUAUUUGAAAAAGUUAUUGGCAAAUUCCAAAAAUUCUCAUUUCCAUUUAAUUUUUCAUACAUUUUACCCCGAAAAUCAUAUUUAAAAAAAACCCUGUGUUUCUAUAUAAUAUAUAAUAAUGUUAAAUGAUAUAUAUUAGCUGCAGUAGUUCUAGUGUUUUUAUUGCAAAAUUAGGCCGAGUUAUUGGCAAAAUUCAUAAAUUGUCAUUUUCAUUUAACUUUUCCAACAUUUUACCCCGAAAAUCAUUUUUUGCGCCAUAUAAUUGUUCUAUGAUUUAAGUAUAUUAAAUAUGUUGCCUGAUAUGACA
This is a long non-coding RNA of Mya arenaria, 6373 nucleotides long. RefSeq lists it as uncharacterized. The record is from RefSeq and is a predicted model, not a curated record. NCBI's taxonomy places the organism in Eukaryota, Metazoa, Mollusca, Bivalvia, Myida, Myidae. The transcript is spliced from 5 exons.